This 483-nucleotide ribosomal RNA is filed under the name uncultured bacterium. Its description in RNAcentral is "partial 16S ribosomal RNA". It matches the Rfam family "Bacterial small subunit ribosomal RNA", at positions 28 to 507 of the family's 1533-position model. The record is from RNAcentral.
GACGAACGCUGGCGGCGUGCUUAACACAUGCAAGUCGAACGCUGAAGCUCAGCUUUUGUUGGGUGGAUGAGUGGCGAACGGGUGAGUAACACGUGAGUAACCUGCCCCCUUCUUUGGGAUAACUCCCGGAAACUGGUGCUAAUACUGGAUAUUCACUGGUCUUGCCUGGUGGGGUGUGGGAAAGUGUGUUUCUGGGGGGGGAUGUGCUGGCGGCUUAACAUCUUGUUGGGGGGGUGGUGGCCUACCAAGUGUUUGACGGGUAGCUGGCCUGGGAGGGUGACUGGUCACAUUAGGAGUGAGAUAGGGCCCAGGAUACUGCGGGAGGCAGCAGUGGGGAAUACUGCACGAUGGGCGGAAGCAUGAUGCAGCGACGCAGGGUGCGGGAUGGAGGCCGGCGGGUUGGGAACCUCUUUGGAUCAUGCUCAAGCCGGUACAAUGGUUGUAGUGAGGGUAGUGGGUAAAGAAGCGCCGGCUAACUACGUG